AACGUACGCUGGCGGCACGCCUAACACAUGCAAGUCGAACGAAGUAGCAAUACUUAGUGGCAGACGGGUGAGUAACAUGUGGGUAUCUACCCUUUGGCCUGGAAUAACACGAGGAAACUUGUGCUAAUACCGGAUAAGUCUUUACGGAGAAAGCUUUAUGCACCAUUGGAUGAGCCUGCACUUGAUUAGUUUGUUGGUGGGGUAAUGGCCUACCAAGACUGUGAUCAAUAGCUGAUUUGAGAGGAUGAUCAGCCACAUUGGGACUGAGACACGGCCCAAACUCCUACGGGAGGCAGCAGUGGGGAAUCUUGCACAAUGGAGGAAACUCUGAUGCAGCGAUGCCGCGUGAGUGAAGAAGGCCCUUGGGUUGUAAAGCUCUUUCGUCGGGGAAGAAAAUGACUGUACCCGAAUAAGAAGGUCCGGCUAACUUCGUG
RNAcentral lists this ribosomal RNA (434 nucleotides) under uncultured bacterium. RNAcentral describes it as "bacterial SSU rRNA". It matches the Rfam family "Bacterial small subunit ribosomal RNA", at positions 29 to 507 of the family's 1533-position model. The record is from RNAcentral.